GGUUGAUCCUGCCAGUAUUAUAUGCUGAUGUUAAAGAUUAAGCCAUGCAUGUGUAAGUUUAAAGACCAAGUAGGAUGAAACUGCGGACGGCUCAUUAUAACAGUAAUAGUUUCUUUGGUUAGUAGGUACAAGGAUAACUUUGUGAAUGAUAAAGCUAAUACUUGAGACGUUCCGGGGAGUAUUUAUACUUCACGGCCGAUGACCGCAAGGUUGUCGAGUAAUGACGUUUUUCUGUGAGAAAGGACGCCACGACAAUUGUUGAAGGCUUUGCUUUUUACAAGUAACCAAUGGG
Molecule: ribosomal RNA, 292 nt
Filed under: uncultured eukaryote
Lineage: Eukaryota
Description: partial 18S ribosomal RNA
Rfam family: Eukaryotic small subunit ribosomal RNA
Source: RNAcentral